ACAACUUUAUUAUGCUAAGCUUCAGUUCACUGUGUUCUCGCUCUGUGGCAUGCGUUUUGGAAGUGGGUGGUAGAGAUGUCAAUUGCACGGACACAUUUUUCUUUGCACUGUGGUUGAAAAGUGAAAUCACAAGGCUUAGAGGUGUUUCUGUUUGACUAGUUGAUUUCCCUGCCAUGAAAUGCAUAUGUAUACAUUCAUUGUUGAAAAUAGGAGAAACUGUGUAAAGUGUACUCAAGCGGAACCAAUGAAGGGGCAAAGGGUAAUUCUGAAGGAGGUGGAGAACAUCACAGCUCAGGUGGGAGCUCUUGUAUGAAGAGUAGUAGAAGAAAGCCACUGUUGGGAGGGGAAAUCAGGUUUGACAGUAUAUCUAGCACUGCUCACACUUUGGAUACCAGCCCUACAGUGAAGCACGAUGGUGAUCUCCCCACCCCUCGCAUAUGUAAUUUAAAACUUGAACAAGAAUGAAACACACUGUGUGUAAUAAUUUAAAAGUUUAGAUUAACCACAUAAAAAAACUUUUCUUGUUACUUACUUAUAAUACAUCACAUUAUGCAUAAUAUUAAAACUGUGGUAAUUAUUUUCAAAUAUAUAAACUGAUUUCUGUGGGUCAUUAUUCUAGAUCCCUAUUUUCUGCUUUAUAGACAUAUAUAAGGAAAAAAUAGCCAAAAAAAAUGUGAUUUAUUUUUGGACUAAGAAAAUCUCAAAUAUUUCUACUUUUACUUGUUUUACUGUUCUUUACACUGUUUUAAACUGUAUAUGUAAUAGGGUUUAUAUAAGUGAUGAACAAAGAGUGUAAUUGCUUUCUAUGUAUUGGUGGAAAGGAACAACAAUAAAUGUGUUUCUGGCAGGGCUCAACAAAAGUAAUUAUGCUUUUUGUACCUUUAUGCAUUGUAAAAAAUGUUUUAUUUGACUUGACAUUCUAUUGUCUAAUACCCCACAUUAACACCUAAUGCACAAGUAUUAGACAAAAUGUAUUUCUCUGCUCAAUUCAAUUAAUAAACAAAUGUAAUAGACUCAUUUGUUUGAAAAUGUGUAGUUCACAUUUUUUAUAGUAUUUUCCCCACUUACUUUCAAAUCAAUGAAUAAACUAGUUAUUUAACAAAUACUAAUAGAAAAUAAUGUAUAACAAAAAUUGCUCAAGUCUGUUAUGUAGCCACCCGAUUAUGUAGCCAUUCUUCUUUUCAAUAAGUGCCAUGAGCCUUUAAUACAUUGAAUCUGUUUCUUGAUCUGUUCACAAUCAUUAUGAGGUGACCAUCAUAGCCUCCUUAAUGCUGUACAAAGAGGUGAAAUGUUUUCUUUCACUAAAGAUACCAUCCCUGAGAAUGGCCCAGAAGUUCUUAAUAUGAUUUGAGUUAGGUGAAGAAGGGGUCAGGUUGUUGUCAUCUUUGAUGCCUUUGCUGGCUAGCCAAGCACUAGUGUGCCUUGGUGUAUGCGAUUCAGCAUUGAGCAUUGAUUCUCUUUUAAGGUCAUGGCCUUCUUGGAUGUUAGGGACUUCUUCCUGUACCACAACAUGAAGAGUGUGUCUUCUAGUAGGUUUUGGGGGUUGGAAUUUUAGUCCAUCUUCAACCCGAAGCGUCCAACACACUACCACAUUACCCCUUCUCGACCUGUGGCUUGCUUGAAUCGAUACUGUGUCCAUUAGUGAUCCACCCAUAUGGUUCGUUUAGAGUCACUCUUAUUAAAUCUGUCCAUAUAACCUUUAAGAACUCGGUCUUCAACUAUUUCUUGGCUCAGUUAUGACACUUCAGUUUGUGUCUCUGGGUGCUUCAGACGUGCACUAUGUAUUUCUGAACAUUCAGUAAAGGUUGCAGUUCUAAAAUAUGUUAACCUCACUUUUGCAGUCGACAUGCACCUUUUCUUUGCCAUACUUUAGUUUAAGAACCUGUCAAUUAUUUGUUACAUAGAUGUGCAGUUUGACUUCUUAGUCUCAUUUAAAACUCUUUUUGUCCAAUUUACCUGAUAUAGAAAAGCUGACUAAUAGUUAUGCACACCUUAAAUAUGGUGUUAGUGGAUCCCUGGUUGUCUAGUGGUUAGGAUGCGGCCCGGGUUCGAUCCCCGGUCAGGGAACCAACCUCAGCCAUUAGGGUUGCACAAGCCUUAGUGCCGGUCCCAAGCCUGGAUAAAUUGGGA
Molecule: long non-coding RNA, 2130 nt
Organism: Silurus meridionalis
Lineage: Eukaryota; Metazoa; Chordata; Actinopteri; Siluriformes; Siluridae
Exons: 3
Source: RefSeq, a predicted model, not a curated record